UACGGAGGAUCCGAGCGUUAUCCGGAUUUAUUGGGUUUAAAGGGAGCGUAGGUGGAUUGUUAAGUCAGUCGUGAAAGUUUGCGGCUCAACCGUAAAAUUGCAGUUGAAACUGGCAGUCUUGAGUACAGUAGAGGUGGGCGGAAUUCGUGGUGUAGCGGUGAAAUGCUUAGAUAUCACGAAGAACUCCGAUUGCGAAGGCAUCUCACUGGACUGCAACUGACACUGAGGCUCGAAAGUGUGGGUAUCAAACAGG
Molecule: ribosomal RNA, 253 nt
Filed under: uncultured bacterium
Lineage: Bacteria
Description: partial 16S ribosomal RNA
Rfam family: Bacterial small subunit ribosomal RNA
Source: RNAcentral